UCUCUUUGUCUCAUGUAGAAUCUCUCCAUCACGCUCUAUUAUUUCCUCUCCGUCUCUGGUUCAUCCAUUCAGGGUUACAGCGACUGGAACAAACACUGUGGCAGCUGGAAACUCAAGAUGCUUUAAUCUGAACCUCAGGAAGCAGAACUGGAACCAGAUGCAAUAAAACAAAAGAAAGAAACAGGCGUAGGGACACAAGGACCUGCAAAGCAAACCGGGCAAAAUGGCUCCACUUGUUUCAGCGUCCUCUCUACUCACCAGGUGAGCGUUCGACGUCUGGAGGAUCCGGAUGUUGAGCCUUUCCUGUGGUUUGAGAUGAAAAAGUCUCAACGGAGGUUUUUGAACAAACGUAACAAUGCGUUAUUCGACUGGCACAUAUGUAGGGUGAAGCAGUUCUGUGUGACGGAGAUGUCUGGAUUCAUUUUGGAAUCUGAAGGUAAACGGUUGAAACAAACUGGCCAACUCGUCGACCCACGCGGCUGCCGUCGAUUCGGCAGCUUUCACACCAUGAGACCACACAGUGGGACGACCUGGGAAAGCCAGAUCCCCGGUGAAAGAACUCCUGCCCCUCUGCGCGGACAAGUGAGACGGUUUGGGCUCCGAUUCACGCCGCAAACGGCGCACACAGCGACAGCGACGGAGCACCGGCCGGCACCGGCUUCUCGAAGCGUUGGCGUUAUACAGGGAGCAGGCGUGUUCCUCUGCUGGCUGAAAGGAAUCCCUUCUUUGGAAGAGUGCGUCGAGUGUAACGGUCCCCACCGAGCCCGACAGGUGCUCAGCUGCUGAUGAAGUGAAUUUCAUUUGAAACACAUAAUAAAUUCACCGUUUAAAGGUUAUAUUCUCACUCCAUUCGUUGUAUCGGAGCGGAGUCUGGGUGAAGGCUGCGUUUACUGACACAAGCGCCUGGGAGCUCUCCAGCGUAAACACCGUCUCCUCCGUCCCACCAGUUGGGGAUAAAGUUUCCAAGUUGCUUAUGAGUGGA
Gasterosteus aculeatus aculeatus (three-spined stickleback) is the source of this 982-nucleotide long non-coding RNA. The record is from Ensembl. NCBI's taxonomy places the organism in Eukaryota, Metazoa, Chordata, Actinopteri, Perciformes, Gasterosteidae.